This 85-nucleotide transfer RNA is filed under the name Ectopseudomonas alcaliphila. RNAcentral describes it as "Pseudomonas alcaliphila tRNA_Leu_TAA". It matches the Rfam family "tRNA". From Rfam's summary of the family: Transfer RNA (tRNA) molecules are approximately 80 nucleotides in length. Their secondary structure includes four short double-helical elements and three loops (D, anti-codon, and T loops). Lineage: Bacteria; Pseudomonadati; Pseudomonadota; Gammaproteobacteria; Pseudomonadales; Pseudomonadaceae. The record is from RNAcentral.
GCCUGGGUGGUGAAAUGGUAUACACAGCGGACUUAAACUCCGCCGCCGCUAAAACGGCAUACGGGUUCGAGUCCCGUCCCAGGCA